AGGGAGGGAGGAAUCUCAAACAAAAUUUACUCUUACUCGUUCACUCUCACAAAACUCUCUCAAAACCACAUUUUCUCUUCAAUUUCACGGAACCACAUUUGUAGGUUUUCAAAAUUCAAACCAAUGUUCGUCUCUCUCUCUCCCUCCCUCCACAUAGGCAAUAGAAAUGGGUUGGGUGUGGUCCGACGAAAUAGAAGACGGCCACGACGUCGCUGUAACAUCUGUUCAACUCUUGCAAUUUUUGUAUAUCUAACAACUCCUGCAAUUUUUUCCAAUUCUCAGUCGCUGAACGAGAGGAUUGGUUGGAGCAAUGGAACGAGGCGAUUGUGGCUAAUGUGAUGCCUUUGUUGUGAAAAUUUGAAGGUUUACGUACGUUUUAAUCGGAGUGUUCUUAACAAACCCGCUACAGAUAGAGCGGAAUGUAAACGUCAUCCGUAUUAGCGGCUAGACCUGUGCAACAUAUGUUAAGGGAAGAAGACAGGCAAAACCAUUAGAAGAAGGCGCCUACUAGGUUGAGGAGCAACUGAGCUCAAUCCGGGUAAACUAUAAUUCCGAACUCAAUCCGGGUAGACUAUUAUUUCUCUCUCUCUCUCUCUCUCUCUCUCUCUCUCUUGAUUUAGGUAUUGAUUUUCUUGCCAAUUUGGGGUUGUUCUUGCGAUCUUAAUAACUUUUUGGGAUUGAUGUGGGUUUUUUCGGGAUUGCUGAAUUCUUUGUGGAUUGAUCGUGAAAGGAUCUGAUGUAUUUCGAUGAAUCAGAGGAUAUACAAGUGGGUUUUAUAGUUGCAUGGAUUUCCUGCAAUUUAGUUCAUAGUAAAGGUAUGGAUUGUUGCAGUUUAAUUGGUCAUUUGUUUGUUUGGA
This is a long non-coding RNA of Rhododendron vialii, 857 nucleotides long. RefSeq lists it as uncharacterized. The transcript has 3 exons. The record is from RefSeq and is a predicted model, not a curated record. Lineage: Eukaryota; Viridiplantae; Streptophyta; Magnoliopsida; Ericales; Ericaceae.